UCUACCUAGUAUAAAAAAGACAAGCUCAAAUAUUAACUAAUAAGCCUACGAGUUAAUCGUAACCCCAUCACUAACCAGUGAUGGACUUUGGUAUCUGUCACAAAUCCAACAUACCAGAAUUUGAUAGCACUCACAUUUCAACCGUAAUAGAACUGAUAGCACUCACUCUCUUAAGAAGCUCCACUACAUAUGAGGCAAACGAUCCAAAUGUGUCAAAGUAAAAAGGAUGAAACUAUGUUGGUUAGCCCUACAGGCUCUAUCAUGUUUCUCCACUUUUGUUGUUGUUGUAUUGCUAGUUGCUAGCAGUGGCGGAGCCAGGAAUUUGACCAAGGGGGGUAUAAGUUUAAAUCCAUGAAUAAAUCUUAUAUACACAGAGUUGCAAGUUGCACCCCCACAAAAGUUUUGCUGCAUAUCUCUGAUUAAGAACAGUCUGACCAUGGAGCAUUUGAUCCAUGACAAAAUAACUUCAAAGAACAUCAGAAUGACUUCAAAGUUUAAAAGUUUAAACCAUGGACUUACUAACAAACUUUGUUAAUACUAUCACUGACAAAGAGGGUAAUUUUGCUCUUGUAAGGGUCCAAAGUACUUUCACUUAAGACAGUCAAACAAUUG
RNAcentral lists this long non-coding RNA (612 nucleotides) under Aquilegia coerulea. Its description in RNAcentral is "long non-coding RNA (ACOE_LNC000052)". Lineage: Eukaryota; Viridiplantae; Streptophyta; Magnoliopsida; Ranunculales; Ranunculaceae. The record is from RNAcentral.